This 273-nucleotide ribosomal RNA is filed under the name uncultured bacterium. Its description in RNAcentral is "partial 16S ribosomal RNA". It matches the Rfam family "Bacterial small subunit ribosomal RNA", at positions 524 to 796 of the family's 1533-position model. The record is from RNAcentral.
GACGGAGGGUGCAAGCGUUGUUCGGAAUCACUGGGCGUAAAGCGCGUGUAGGCGGUUCGAUAAGUCGGACGUGAAAGCCCGGGGCUUAACCCCGGAAGGGCAUCCGAAACUGUCGAGCGUGAGUACGGGAGAGGGAAGCGGAAGUCCUGGUGGAGAGGUGACAGUCGUAGAUAUCAGGAGGAACAACGGGGGCGAAGGCGGCUUCCUGGACCGAUACUGACGCUGAGAAGCGAAAGCGUGGGACGCAAACAGGAUUAGAUCCCCCCGGAGUCC